UGGAAAAGCACAUGAGGUAUCAAGAGCGUCUUUGUGACCACAGGCUGGGGGCCAGGGCUAGAGGAGGGGCUUUACAGUGAGAAAAAUCUGCUGAAGAUCUCAUUCUUCCCUCUUCCUGCAGCCCCACAACAGCCCUUCUCUGGAUGUGAGUCAGCAUCUGGAUCCUAAUAAAGAUGAGGUCAGAAAAGGUCCACCUGGGAACAUGAAGGAUCUUCCCUGGGGGGUGAAGUUUGACAUUCCCUCCAUCACCCUUGAGUCAGACAGUGACAGUUGCAGAUCAUCUAAAACCGCACCCUGUAGGACGGAGGGGUCCCUGGAUACCCACCUCAGCCCAGCUUUCUCUGCUUCACCAAAAAGCCCAGUUCAGCAGCAGAAACCUCCAGGUGUUGCUGCAGGAAAGAUGACUCCCAAGCUGCGUUCCCCCACCUCUCUGGACUUGUGUGGGAAGAAGUCACCUGCAGACAUUGCUGCUCUUCCAAUGAGCCUGGAGACCUUGAAGGAAAUCGCUGCCAACACCAAAAGCAUCUCCCUCAUUGCGGCCAGUCGCCGUUCCAGAGUCCAACAGAGGGACCUUGGGAGUGAUGUCUCCUCAGCCCACUCCUCUGAGGAGGAUACGCUUGAGCUGAAGUAUCUGGAGGCCAGUUCCACCCCAGACUGUCAGAGAAGAGACAGUGCGAGUAGGGGGAGUUUGCUGUCGGAUCCCGCAGCUGGCAGCCAGCUGUGCUCCCCAGCCAGGGGAAUGCUGAAGAACAGGAGGGACCAGGAGAUGCCUGCUGAGAGGACAGCCAGGAAGAAAAGAUCUCGCUCUCUUGAACCAAACUUCCACAGGACCUCAAAAGCUACUCACUGGACUCCCUCAAGCCCCAGUACAGACAAAGCUGGUGAGAACCACCUGUGCCAAGACAGACUCUUCCAUCAGUCAAAAGCCACGAGCAGCAUAUCCACUGCCCCAAAGAUCAAAGUUCCUGUCGACCACCGUUCAGGUAGGGGCCAAAGAGCUGCUGGAGACAUCCUGCAUCAGCUCUGUUGGAAAAGAUGGAUUGUCAUGUGAGAAAUAAACCAGAGUAAAAGCUAA
RNAcentral lists this long non-coding RNA (1075 nucleotides) under Calidris pugnax (ruff). RNAcentral's name for it is "lncRNA (ENSCPUG00000003094.1)". Lineage: Eukaryota; Metazoa; Chordata; Aves; Charadriiformes; Scolopacidae. The record is from RNAcentral.